RNAcentral lists this long non-coding RNA (1668 nucleotides) under Nicotiana tabacum (common tobacco). RNAcentral's name for it is "long non-coding RNA (NTAB_LNC011365)". The record is from RNAcentral. Lineage: Eukaryota; Viridiplantae; Streptophyta; Magnoliopsida; Solanales; Solanaceae.
AGUGAAAAAGCAAGAAAUUAGUGCUGGUUCUUAUGUUGAAGAGGAAGUAGGAAUUUGUUUUUAUGUGAAGUACCAUAUAACCGAUCCUGUAGGGAGCCAUUUGACAUAAAGGGAUAAACCAGAAUUUGUUGGUCAUUCUCGCAGCAGUAGCCAAGAAGAGGGAUCAGGUUCUCAUGCGUAAUAGCUGAGAGAAGGGUCAGCUGUAAUACAAAUUGAUAGUACAAGGUUAGUUUGCAAGCUGUGUUAUUUGUUAUGCAUGGCUUAACUACAUAUACGUGGAUAAGAUGCACUUAUUGUAGAAGAUGGCUCCUGAAGAGUGCAAGACAAAUCAGGAGGAGGAAGUGAUAAAUCUAAAAAUCUGAUAAUUAUCAUUUAGUAGACAUGUGAGAACAUCAAGUUAAGGGCAUGGCUGCAAAAGCUUGAAAUAAUUGGUUAAAUUUUGCUUAAUAACACUGUUUCUUGUCCAGUACAUUAUUCAGAAUAUUUCAGAGGUUAGGAAUGUUUGCGGGGAGUAAUUAUGAAGAGAAUCAUGGGAUUUUGUGAGACAAAGUAUUAUUUUGAGCAUGUAGUUAGUUUGGUUUCCUAUGUGAACAGUAAUAGUAGAUAGAAGGUUGAUUGCUCCGACAUUGUGGUGAUGUUUUCUUCACAUUUUAGUCAGCAUCUAUUUUAUUGGUUUAAUGCAGAUGUCACAGUUAGGAGAAAAUUGGUCUAAAAAUGCUCUAGACUGAUACCUCAUUAUUGAAUUCUCGAGUUCCCUGAGUCGAAGUGGCUGACCGGACCUUUACAGCCACUUCUUCACCAUCAGUCAAGGUACCACGGUAAACAGAUCCAAAACCACCUUCACCUAUCAAAGUUUUGUAGUUCUGUGUAACAGCUUCUAUGUAUUCCAAAGUGAAAUUCCUGAUGGAUAUUGACUUCAAGGUAGUAUCUGUGCUUGGUACUGAAUAAACUGCAUCUGUAUUUGAAAGAAAACUUCGAGCAUGUUCUCUCAUAGUGGAAAAGUACCAGAUCUUACAGAAUAUAACUCUUUCAAAUAGCUAGAAUUCUUGUCUGUAAAGCUCGCUUGCAACAGAUGAUAUAGUUACAGUUUCUGUUUUAUGGUGAAAGUUUUAUGAUUCUAUUUUGUUGGGUCCUAUCUUAAGCUUAUUUCAAGAAAGACAAGCACUUAAAUUAUGACUUUCUAGAUUACAUAUCUCUUCACUCUAUUGUCUAUGCUUUCUCAAUGAUGUGCGAAACGACAAAUUGAUAACAUAAUUUCUCAAAUGAUGUCUCUGUGCAAAACAAAGUUGUAGGCUAAACAAUCUAUUUAAGUGGAGGCAAAGAUUUUUUUUUUUUAUGAGUAUGUUGAUGUGAACUCUAGAUUAUCCUUCAAGAGGAUCAAAACGACUCGUGCAUGGCGUCUUAUUAUUUAGUACACAAAAUAGAAAGAAGAAUGGAUUGUCAUGGUCGAAAAUAUGUGCCUAAAGAAUAGGAUAAGUUUCUUAUGGCAUUCAGAAAUAUAUAUUAUCAUGCAUUAGGCAUGCAGGAUUAUUUUUGGUGUGCUGAGAGUGUACUUACUCUUUGUCACUGAGUAACUUCUCAUACUAAAUCUUGGCCCUGCUAUUACUCGUCUUUUGUAGAGGCAAACAAUAGAGAUAACUAUUGCGAGGAUCACUAGGAGAGAUGCAC